Long non-coding RNA from Cylas formicarius (sweet potato weevil), 839 nucleotides. RefSeq lists it as uncharacterized. The record is from RefSeq and is a predicted model, not a curated record. The transcript is spliced from 3 exons. Lineage: Eukaryota; Metazoa; Arthropoda; Insecta; Coleoptera; Brentidae.
CAGAUAGCGGAGGAAACUUUUUGCUUCGCUGCGUCCAUGCACUGGUCGCCAUACUACCGACCUUGCCGCAUCGUCGACAACAGGGGACGUUGGCGCCACCGAACUUCUGGAAACAGUUAAUAAGAUUAGAUUUUUAUGGACAACACCGUCUGUUCGUUUCCUCUGCGGAAUGUAAAGGUGUCGACAGUUUAUGGCUAUUCUAUCGAGUCCAGACAGACUUCCAGAAAACCAACUUGUAUCGGACCAUUUCCUACAAAGUUAUGAUUGUCCUUUCGUUUAUUAUAAUCUGUCGUCGUGAACUUUAAGGUAAUAAAACGCGGAAUUAGCUCCGAUACUGGUCAAUUACGCAUCAUUAGGCGCAAUUGUAAUAAAAUAAACUUAUAUGCUUAAAAAUUAUUUCAGUGUGGCCAUUUCGGCGCUUACGCACACACAAUGUAUGUCGUUUAUCUUUUUUUUGCAACAAUUCUUACUUAACAUAGUGUCUGUUUUUAAUUGUGUACGUCAGACAGAGAGAGAUGUAUUAUUGGAUAUGUUAUAUAAUCGACGGAAUAAGCACAAUUUCAAAAUGUUACAUUGUUUAUUUAAAUUUUACAAUUGAUUAUUAAGUAGUUUAUUUAAAGAAAAAGACUGUAAAUUUUUUAAGAUAGUAUAAGGAAGAAAAAGCAGGUCCUAACCAAUUUUGUUUUGUUUGUACUCAGACAUGGAUAUUUGAAAAUGGUACAAAUGGUCUUGACAAGAUAUUAAUAUAAAAACUACAAAAAUCACUAAAGUUCAAGCUAAUGGUAUGUAAAAUUUCUGUUUGAAACUUAAAUUGUAAAUGUCACUUUACUUACCGACUA